RNAcentral lists this ribosomal RNA (555 nucleotides) under uncultured Methanosarcina sp. Its description in RNAcentral is "bacterial SSU rRNA". It matches the Rfam family "Archaeal small subunit ribosomal RNA", at positions 321 to 876 of the family's 1478-position model. Lineage: Archaea; Methanobacteriati; Methanobacteriota; Methanomicrobia; Methanosarcinales; Methanosarcinaceae. The record is from RNAcentral.
CCCUACGGGGCGCAGCAGGCGCGAAAACUUUACAAUGCGGGAAACCGUGAUAAGGGGACACCGAGUGCCAGCAUCAUAUGCUGGCUGUCCGGAUGUGUAAAAUACAUCCGUUAGCAAGGGCCGGGCAAGACCGGUGCCAGCCGCCGCGGUAACACCGGCGGCCCGAGUGGUGAUCGUGAUUAUUGGGUCUAAAGGGUCCGUAGCCGGUUUGGUCAGUCCUCCGGGAAAUCUGAUAGCUCAACUAUUAGGCUUUCGGGGGAUACUGCCAGACUUGGAACCGGGAGAGGUAAGAGGUACUACAGGGGUAGGAGUGAAAUCUUGUAAUCCCUGUGGGACCACCUGUGGCGAAGGCGUCUUACCAGAACGGGUUCGACGGUGAGGGACGAAAGCUGGGGGCACGAACCGGAUUAGAUACCCGGGUAGUCCCAGCCGUAAACGAUGCUCGCUAGGUGUCAGGCAUGGCGCGACCGUGUCUGGUGCCGCAGGGAAGCCGUGAAGCGAGCCACCUGGGAAGUACGGCCGCAAGGCUGAAACUUAAAGGAAUUGGCGGGGGAG